This 74-nucleotide transfer RNA is filed under the name Gammaproteobacteria bacterium. RNAcentral's name for it is "tRNA-Cys". It matches the Rfam family "tRNA". From Rfam's summary of the family: Transfer RNA (tRNA) molecules are approximately 80 nucleotides in length. Their secondary structure includes four short double-helical elements and three loops (D, anti-codon, and T loops). Further hydrogen bonds mediate the characteristic L-shaped molecular structure. tRNAs have two regions of fundamental functional importance: the anti-codon, which is responsible for specific mRNA codon recognition, and the 3' end, to which the tRNAs corresponding amino acid is attached (by aminoacyl-tRNA synthetases). tRNAs cope with the degeneracy of the genetic code in two manners: having more than one tRNA (with a specific anti-codon) for a particular amino acid; and 'wobble' base-pairing, i.e. permitting non-standard base-pairing at the 3rd anti-codon position. RNAcentral also lists the same sequence under 4 other names. The record is from RNAcentral. Lineage: Bacteria; Pseudomonadati; Pseudomonadota; Gammaproteobacteria.
GGCCGGAUGGUAGAGUGGUUAUACACUUGAUUGCAAAUCAAUGAAUCUCGGUUCGAUUCCGGGUCCGGCCUCCA